Molecule: small RNA, 561 nt
Filed under: Pan troglodytes (chimpanzee)
Lineage: Eukaryota; Metazoa; Chordata; Mammalia; Primates; Hominidae
Description: processed transcript
Source: RNAcentral
AAAAUAAAAGCUCUCCUGAUGGCCUGUUCCUGCACAUUUCCUGAGGACGCCCUCGAUCACAAGCAGAAUCUGUUCAAUUCAGAGUCAUCUGUUUGCUUUCUUCUGAGAAAUUCGAUAACGUACCCUGCUUGCUGGAUGAAUAAAGGGAAGAAAGUUUAUGUACACUAAUAGUAGAAAUGUUUUGGGAUGGUUCAUGAUUUCGAAAAGCUUCAGAGAAAAUAAAGAUACUUAAUGUAGAGUACAAAACAUGUUCUCCCUGCAGUCUCACGAAUUGUGAACAAAAACUGAAGUGAAAACUCCCGGGGCAUAACUCGUCAAUACUCCUGUGAUCGUAUAACCAUCAGCAAGAAAACAAAUUUGAUUGAGCCCCCAUCCAGUCCUCUUUGCGUGGAAUCAGACCUCUUUCGCGGUGAAAAGGAGCAGAGAAUGUGACUUUCCUGAACAACAGGAGCAAGAAUCAAUGCCAGAUUCUCUUCUCUAAAAAUAAUCAAUUUGUUACUACAGUGCUGCAGCUCUGAUGGUUCAACUCUGCCAGAAGAUGGAUCUUUAAUGAUCAGCACU